CAGAGGGUGCGAGCGUUAAUCGGAAUUACUGGGCGUAAAGGGUGCGUAGGUGGUUUAUUAAGUUAGGUGUGAAAGUCCUGGGCUUAACCUGGGGAUUGCGCCUAAUACUGAUUGACUGGAGUACUGUAGAGGAAGGUGGAAUUUCCGGUGUAGCGGUGAAAUGCGUAGAUAUCGGAAGGAACACCCGUGGCGAAGGCGACCUUCUGGACAGCUACUGACACUGAGGCACGAAAGCAUGGGGAGCAAACAGGAUUAGAUACCCUGGUAGUCCAUGCUGUAAACGACGAGGACUGGCUGUUGGGUGCCAAGGGCACUUGGUAGCGAAGCUAACGCGUUAAGUCCUCCGCCUGGGGAGUACGGCCGCAAGGCUA
This 371-nucleotide ribosomal RNA is filed under the name uncultured organism. RNAcentral's name for it is "bacterial SSU rRNA". It matches the Rfam family "Bacterial small subunit ribosomal RNA", at positions 526 to 896 of the family's 1533-position model. The record is from RNAcentral.